ACGGGAGGCAGCAGUGGGGAAUAUUGGGCAAUGGGCGCAAGCCUGACCCAGCAACGCCGCGUGAGGGAAGAAGGUUUUCGGAUUGUAAACCUCUGUCCUAAGAGACGAAGGAAGUGACGGUAUCUUAGGAGGAAGCCCCGGCUAACUACGUGCCAGCAGCCGCGGUAAUACGUAGGGGGCGAGCGUUGUCCGGAAUGACUGGGCGUAAAGGGCGUGUAGGCGGCUUUUUAAGUAUGGAGUGAAAGUCCUGCUUUCAAGGUGGGAAUUGCUUUGUAGACUGGAGAGCUAGAGUGCGGAAGAGGUAAGUGGAAUUCCCGGUGUAGCGGUAAAAUGCGUAGAUAUCGGGAAGAACACCGGUGGCGAAGGCGACUUACUGGGCCGUAACUGACGCUGAGGCGCGAAAGCGUGGGUAGCGAACAGGAUUAGAUACCCUGGUA
This 437-nucleotide ribosomal RNA is filed under the name uncultured bacterium. Its description in RNAcentral is "partial 16S ribosomal RNA". It matches the Rfam family "Bacterial small subunit ribosomal RNA", at positions 341 to 792 of the family's 1533-position model. The record is from RNAcentral.